Non-coding RNA from Paramuricea clavata, 546 nucleotides. Lineage: Eukaryota; Metazoa; Cnidaria; Anthozoa; Malacalcyonacea; Plexauridae. The record is from the annotation of a GenBank genome assembly.
UUUAAUUGGUAGCCAUUUAUGAAAAGGGUCUAUUGCAAUGGCUCGCCGCUUCUCUGCCCGAUAAAUGCCACUUCUUCGUCUUCCUAUAUGUAUUUAGAUUACAGUAUCCAAGAGUAAUUCAUUGUAGAAUAGUCCCAAACGAAAAAUUGAAAAAAAGGAAAAACCUCCCACAACACUUGUUGUAUUACUGAUCCAUUGUAUCACAAGCCAGUUAAAAGUGAGUUUUUCAUGUUCAUUUUUCAUGUUCAUGAUUUAAAAAAGAUAAAAAUUGAAAAAAAGGAAAAACCUCCCACAACACUUGUUGUAUUACUGAUCCAUUGUAUCACAAGCCAGUUAAAAGUGAGUUUUUCAUGUUCAUUUUUCAUGUUCAUGAUUUAAAAAAGAUAACUCCUCUAGAUGAUUGUGCUCUCCCAUCCCAUGCUUUUUCAUCCUCAUUGUCGAGUUAAACGCCUUUGAUACAACCGGCCCCUGCACGAAAAACCAAUUGGUAAUUAAUUUCAAUGAAACAAUAAACUAGCUACAGUGAAACAACGGUUAACUUUAUUA